This 246-nucleotide ribosomal RNA is filed under the name uncultured bacterium. RNAcentral's name for it is "partial 16S ribosomal RNA". It matches the Rfam family "Bacterial small subunit ribosomal RNA", at positions 791 to 1035 of the family's 1533-position model. The record is from RNAcentral.
UAGUCCUGGCCGUAAACGAUGGGUACUAGGUGUAGGAGGUAUCGACCCCUCCUGUGCCGGAGUUAACGCAAUAAGUACCCCGCCUGGGGAGUACGUCCGCAAGGAUGAAACUCAAAGGAAUUGACGGGGGCCCGCACAAGCGGUGGAGUAUGUGGUUUAAUUCGACGCAACGCGAAGAACCUUACCAAGGCUUGACAUUGAGUGACCGCCAUAGAGAUAUGGCUUUCCCUUCGGGGACACGAAAAC